AUGGAUGGCCACGUGCCGAACAUCCAGCCCCACCCCGGCUCUAUAAGGCCCUCCUCGACCCCGUACUCGAACCCUAGAUCCCUCAUCUCAUCCUCUCGCGCCGCCAUCAUCAUUUUUGUUCGCGCCCGAGCGGCUACCCGCCAUGGACAUCGUCGUAGCUGCGGCCAGCACGCUCGAUGUCGCCUGAGAAGAUGUGCGGGAGGAUGGACGUACUCCUCUACUUCUUCUACACCACCGGAUCGACGCCGUAGAACUCCAACGCCGCCACCCGCUUCAUCUUCUUCCUCGGACGCCGCCGGACCUCCUUGUCAAAUUCGCCGCCGUCUGCCGCUCCUAACCUUCCACCGGCCUUUCUUGUGCCCCGCGACGAUGGAGCCCAGGAGCCAGACGCCACUGUCGAUGACGACUACUACUACUCGGGAGGUGCCUACUACUACGUGCAGCCCGCUGACGGCGACCAGGAGUAGUUAG
RNAcentral lists this ribosomal RNA (471 nucleotides) under Triticum aestivum (bread wheat). RNAcentral's name for it is "partial small subunit ribosomal RNA". Lineage: Eukaryota; Viridiplantae; Streptophyta; Magnoliopsida; Poales; Poaceae. The record is from RNAcentral.